This 172-nucleotide long non-coding RNA is filed under the name Gigantopelta aegis. RNAcentral describes it as "uncharacterized LOC121385707". Lineage: Eukaryota; Metazoa; Mollusca; Gastropoda; Neomphalida; Peltospiridae. The record is from RNAcentral.
ACAUGAACAGCAGACAUGUUUGACGGGUUUUGACAGGCGACAGAUCAGAAUACAUUAUAGGUUUUCACACACUCUUGUUGACCACCGGCAUUGUUUACGCUCGUGUACCACAUACAGGGGCGUUGUUUGCAAUGACAUAAUGAACUUUAUGAAGUAAAUCAUUUCAAAACGU